GCCUGGAAUGCAAAAUCGGCACUUUUAAAAUAAAACAAGCGAAACUAACUUUUUAAUGAAAAUUCAGUAAAUCCAGAACUCAAUCAAAAAUCCAGAAUCAAGGCUUGGACCCAGAAGGAGACUCUAGCUGGAGACGGAUUCCCGGGCUCCCUUCUUUGCUAAGGUUUUACUUCUGCUGGGGUUCGCUGGACUCUGCUGACCUCAGGGGUGUCCCUACUUGAAAAAUGCUUGCCUGAGCCUGGAUGCCAUCACCUUCUUUGUGUUCCCUUCAGUAUAGCUACAGGAGGUGGGGCCCUGCAGACAGGGUUCCAGAAGGUGGAGCAGAUGGAAAAGAAGACACAGUACACGUUGAAGUUGGAGAAAUGGGCUCCCUUCCCUCCCCACCAACAUUACUCUUCCUCCAGUGAGCCCUCCAUCCUUACAAGCAGAGAAGGACCGUGUGCUGCCCAAGAGCCACCUGAGCACCGCAAGCCAGAGUCGCCCCAGGGAGCGUCUGUCACAGGUAGCCACGGUAGGACCAGCUGCCACCGUUCCCCGUCACACGCUGACACCAGCACAUUUGGAGGGAGAGAGGAAAGACACAUCGUGAGAGCAGCUCAGUGACAGGUGGCCCUGCCCCCCUGGGAACCAGCUCUGCCUGCUUUCCAGUUCCACCCACGACCUGCUCUGCAUUUAUGAUAUUUGAGCUGGGGGAUCGGAAGAUUGAAGUAGAGCGACUGUGUCUUUAAAGUGGUCACAGGAAUGUCAAAAACAUGCAGCAGCUCCAUUUUAAUGGUUUUUCUUGGGGAGUAGGCAGCCUGGCCGCCAGCACUGCCUCAUCCAUGCCUCCUUGUGUCCUGAGUCAGGGGCUCCUGGAAAGAAGGAUGCUCCAGAGAGCACGUGGGGCCACUUCCUUUCUCCUUGGCUGGGAUUUGGGGUGUAAAACUCUCAGAACAAGGCUGGUCUCUCACACCUGUCACUCCCUCAGCCUAUUUGGGGGUUUUCUUGGCCUUUCUCUGUCAUUGGCUGCGUACAUGCAUGGUUAGUCGCUUCAGUCGUGUCUGACUCUUUGCGACCGCAUGGGCUAUCGCCCGCCAGGCUCCUCUGUCCAUGGGAUUCUCCAGGCAAGAAUACUGGAGUGGGUAGCCAUGCCAUCCUCCAGGGGAUCUUCCUGACUUAGGGAUCGAACCUACAUCUCUUAGUCUUCUGCAUUGGCAGGCGGGUUCUUUACCACUGGUGCCACCAUUGACUAACAGAUGCCUAAUGGUUUCACGUUUUAAUCCCCACUCCGCUAACUUUUCCAUCAGCACCACACCCACCCUUGUAAUGGUCCUGAACUUGCUGUUGUUCAAACAUGAGCUCCUGAACUGCAAACUCAACUUUAUGAUUUAAUGCACAGGUUUUUUUUUCCCCCUAGGAAAUUUAUCUGAUCUUGGCCAGGUUUUAGUAUGUCAUUAUGCCAUAUGUAAUGUUCUUAGAUUAAUCUUCCUUCUCACUCCCUCAGCUUGGCUUUAUAUUAGUCAUACCUGGGAUCAGAAAUGCUUUGUUUCUUCAUAUUCUGAAUACUGAUAUUUCAGAUAGAUAUGGAAAAUCUCUUUGGAAGCCUCAGAGAGGCUUCAUUUGGCUGAGAAAGGGGUUGAGGAGAGAUAUCUUGUAUCGUUUGUAAGAUAUAAGAAGGGCUUCUCUGUGUUUUUCUGUUGUUUAGGUUUUUUUAAAGGAUGACCUGGGCUACACUUGAGACUUCUUGAGCGUUUGAGUCCGUCUGGCACUUUUAUCUUUUACUACUUCCCGUCUCAGUUUUAUUCAGCAUGGGGCAAAAACAGUCACAAAACUUCACCACAAAAACAUUAGUCAAGAGGUGAACCCUUUGUUCUUUGCCAAAAGCUUGGAGAAAAAGGAGGUUCAGAAUUUAGAUUCCACCCCCCACCCUUGUCUUUCCUAGAAAGAGCUCUUCUUUGGAAAUAACUCAAGACCACAGAUUCUUCCUAAUCCCACCUGUCUUUGAAUCUUUGUGAUUUUCAGUCUAAAUAAAGUAAAUGUUCUUGACUUUCCGUUGGGUUUC
Molecule: long non-coding RNA, 2041 nt
Organism: Bos indicus x Bos taurus (hybrid cattle)
Lineage: Eukaryota; Metazoa; Chordata; Mammalia; Artiodactyla; Bovidae
Source: Ensembl